UUUGAUCAUGGCUCAGGACGAACGCCUGGCGGCGUUGCCUAUACAUGCAAGUCGAGCGGACCGACGGGAGCUUGCUCCCUUAGGUCAGCGGCGGACGGUUGAGUAACACGUGGGUAACCUGCCUGUAAGACUGGGAUAACUCCGGGAAACCGGGGCUAAUACCGGAUGCUUGAUUGAACCGCAUGGUUCAAUCAUAAAAGGUGGCUUUCAGCUACCACUUGCAGAUGGACCCGCGGCGCAUUAGCUAGUUGGUGAGGUAACGGCUCACCAAGGCGACGAUGCGUAGCCGACCUGAGAGGGUGAUCGGCCACACUGGGACUGAGACACGGCCCAGACUCCUACGGGAGGCAGCAGUAGGGAAUCUUCCGCAAUGGACGAAAGUCUGACGGAGCAACGCCGCGUGAGUGAUGAAGGUUUUCGGAUCGUAAAACUCUGUUGUUAGGGAAGAACAAGUACCGUUCGAAUAGGGCGGUACCUUGACGGUACCUAACCAGAAAGCCACGGCUAACUACGUGCCAGCAGCCGCGGUAAUACGUAGGUGGCAAGCGUUGUCCGGAAUUAUUGGGCGUAAAGCGCGCGCAGGCGGUUUCUUAAGUCUGAUGUGAAAGCCCCCGGCUCAACCGGGGAGGGUCAUUGGAAACUGGGGAACUUGAGUGCAGAAGAGGAGAGUGGAAUUCCACGUGUAGCGGUGAAAUGCGUAGAGAUGUGGAGGAACACCAGUGGCGAAGGCGACUCUCUGGUCUGUAACUGACGCUGAGGCGCGAAAGCGUGGGGAGCGAAAGGAUUAGAUACCCUGGUAGUCCACGCCGUAAACGAUGAGUGCUAAGUGUUAGAGGGUUUCCGCCCUUUAGUGCUGCAGCAAACGCAUUAAGCACUCCGCCUGGGGAGUACGGUCGCAAGACUGAAACUCAAAGGAAUUGACGGGGGCCCGCACAAGCGGUGGAGCAUGUGGUUUAAUUCGAAGCAACGCGAAGAACCUUACCAGGUCUUGACAUCCUCUGACAACCCUAGAGAUAGGGCUUCCCCUUCGGGGGCAGAGUGACAGGUGGUGCAUGGUUGUCGUCAGCUCGUGUCGUGAGAUGUUGGGUUAAGUCCCGCAACGAGCGCAACCCUUGAUCUUAGUUGCCAGCAUUCAGUUGGGCACUCUAAGGUGACUGCCGGUGACAAACCGGAGGAAGGUGGGGAUGACGUCAAAUCAUCAUGCCCCUUAUGACCUGGGCUACACACGUGCUACAAUGGGCAGAACAAAGGGCAGCGAAGCCGCGAGGCUAAGCCAAUCCCACAAAUCUGUUCUCAGUUCGGAUCGCAGUCUGCAACUCGACUGCGUGAAGCUGGAAUCGCUAGUAAUCGCGGAUCAGCAUGC
RNAcentral lists this ribosomal RNA (1363 nucleotides) under Bacillus licheniformis. Its description in RNAcentral is "bacterial SSU rRNA". It matches the Rfam family "Bacterial small subunit ribosomal RNA", at positions 12 to 1357 of the family's 1533-position model. Lineage: Bacteria; Bacillati; Bacillota; Bacilli; Caryophanales; Bacillaceae. The record is from RNAcentral.